Molecule: long non-coding RNA, 2903 nt
Filed under: Gallus gallus (chicken)
Lineage: Eukaryota; Metazoa; Chordata; Aves; Galliformes; Phasianidae
Description: lncRNA (ENSGALG00010012254.1)
Source: RNAcentral
CCAUCCAGCGCGAGGUUUUCAUUAAUUUUUAAGUGCAGCCCGUAAAACAGAACGAGCCGCUCAAAGGUAGGGCCGCGUUACCGAGCGCCGCCUCACCGCGCGAUUUACGAACGGAGGUUGGGAAAGAAGGUGGCCCAUGACACUUGAACACUCUCUUUCUGGGGCCUCACCCUCACUUGCAGCAAUGCUGGUAGAAGGGAUCUGGGUCAGAAAGAUCCAUGGUGACCCCACCCCUCUGCUGGGAUUUUGGUCUGCCAGGAAAUAAAGGGUCCAGAAAGAAGAAGUGUGGCCCUGUGAGGGCAUGGCACAGCUCCUGGCAUUGGGAGUGCUGCUGUGUGGGUGAGAAGAUGUGCUCCUGGUGUGUGGGGUUGGGACAGAUGGAGGUUCCUUUCUGCAGGUGUCUUCCUUACUUACUGCUUGAGGGUUGCCAACGGAGGCUGUAGAGAAAGAAGAUGGACGUUGUGUCUUUUAUGUACUUCUGCUGUACUUAUGUACAUUCUGCUGUUACUUGAGUUAGGCUUUUUUCCUCUUUUCCUGUUCUCAUGGAAAAAAAAAAAAAAAAAAAAAAGACUGAACUUAUCAUUUUAACAGAAAAUUUCCCAUCUUUCCCCUCCAAAUUGAGUCUGACUACAAACUCACCCUGGGAAGCACUGGACCUAAGAGGAUGUGCCCUUUUCCCCAGGAUAGAAGAAUGCUGGUGGAGCAACUGAUUGGAAGAUUAAGCUGCUGCCAAAUUAGUCCUGCCAGUAACUGAUUUAUUCUCCAAUGGAUAACUUAUUCCAGCUCCUGAAAUCUGCUGCAUGGAUCCAAGGGGUGGUUUGGCUCAGAAGAGGCAGUGUGAUCAGCCUCUGAGCUCCAUAUAAAAAGUACGAAUCUGAUGCUGGGGUGAAGACGUCAUUGCCUUUGGAAGUCGAAGCCACUGUAGUGCUUCAGCCCAUCCAUCUCUCCGGGACAUCUGCAUAUCCAGAUUAUUUGUAUCUCUGGACCGUGUCCCAAUCACUGUCUUUCUUUUCAACUUCUCUCCAGUUUUAUCCCAAAGUUAUUUCUUCUCAGAAAUUGGACCUAGCCCAGUGAAGUGGUGCGUUCUUAGCCAAAAGUUAGGAACAGCAGUCUCAUCUCCAGUGUCUUAAUUACUAAAUGGGAAAUUAUAGGAAAAAAAUAAUAUAGGUACAGACAUCUGUUUACACACAUACAUCCUUUACUCGUCUAUCUUUACGUAAACCCACUAGAAAGAGCAGUCCAGAUUUCUUGGCUAUAUGUUAAUGGAACCAGUGCUAUAUACAAGGGUUUUUCUUGCCUGCUGUUUUCCUCACCUGAAGCUUGCUCCAGGUCCAGCAACAAUUUUUCCAUCAGUGAAGCUGAACUGAGUUUUUGGCAUCCCAUUUGCCACCGUGUGAUGACAGAGUGACAAGGACAGAAGUGAAAUCUCUGCCAACCCAUGUUGAAAAUGGGAGAUAGACCUGAACUAGGUCUGGUUUAACAACAUUUAUGUUGAUGUUAUGUAGAAUGGAUGCACUGGUGAUGUCUGUUAUGGGUGGAAAGAAUGUCGAACUAUGUGUUGAGCUAUAAGAAAGGAGGGGACAGACUCUUUAGCAGGGUUUGUUGUGACAGAAGGGGAAACAGUUCCAAACCAAAAGAGGGGAGAUAUACACUGGAUACAAGGAAGAAGUUUUUACAGUAAAGGUAGCAAAGCACUGGAGCAGGUUGCCCGGAGAAGUGGUGGAUGUCCCGUCCCUGGAGGCAACCAAGGUCAGGCUGGAUGGGACUCUGAGCAAUCUGAUCUCACUGUAGGUGUCCCUGUUCACUGAAGGGCAGUUGGACUAAAUGGCCUUUAAGGAUUCCUUCCAACUCAAACAAGUCUGUGAUUCUAUGUGGCAGGGUAAAUAGUACUCCGUAGUAGAAAUGCUAAAUCAUGGCUCGAACUGGUGAUUGAGCACCUGGUAGGAAGGCAGGGCCAACUCAGGGAAGCUCAGGUGCAAGUAAUGCAGCUGAGUGACCAAAAGCGGUGGAGCCAGGAUCCACCCCUUCCCAGCCCUCAUUUAAGGGUUGGCAGUGGAGGUGAGGGAAUCUCUCUGGAGUUCUGUGUGUACUGGAGUCCUUCUGAAAUUAGGGUGCUUCCAGUUGUGCCUGUGGAUGAUGGCUGCUCAUACCGAGAGGCAGCAGUUGUUGGCAGGGCUUGAGCAAAGCUGCUCUUCUUUUUGGCAGCAUGCUGAGCAGUUGUAUUAAGAGGAGUAUGAAUCACCACUCUGAACCUCAAGUCUGCCCCAGAGUCCAGGACCUCAUACACGAGGGGGCAGCUUUCCUCUGUUUUGCUGUGAAAUGAAGAGUCACUGAUCCGGGCUAUCAAGCUGCUGCCUACUGCAAUUCACCAUGAAGAUGGGAAUUGAUCUGGUCUAUGGAGACAGCCUCCAAUUGUAGGACGCCGCUCACUGGCCUUGCAUCCAAGGAGAUGAAUGGAUAGCACUUACAAGAGCACCCAACCAAGACAAAUUCAGCUUGAGCAGUGUCCACUCCUGUUUGGCAAGCAACUAAGUAAGAGCGAAUAGGAAGAGGAGGGUACGUGGGUACCCCUCCAUUUCGGGGUCCCCCCCAUGUCAUGUACAUGUUACAUGGUGCAUGUCAGACCUCACCAUGUCUGGGAGACCUUUAGGCACCAGCACACUAACUCAGGCUUCUUUUCCUGGUGAGGAAGGGGAAGUGUCCCAUGGCUCAGAUUGUUAUCUGAGCCAGGCUCAACAUGAUUGGGUCCAUGUGACUGUUCAGAAAUUGCAAAACGUAAUUUCUAAACCUACACUGUGACAGGCAGAUUCCAUAAGGAAUCUGCUUUUUUUGGCUUCAUUGUCACCUGUAUUAGAAUACGUUCUGUUAAAGUAAUGAUUGCUUGUAUUCCUAAUAAAGCUGGC